RNAcentral lists this ribosomal RNA (197 nucleotides) under uncultured bacterium. RNAcentral's name for it is "partial 16S ribosomal RNA". It matches the Rfam family "Bacterial small subunit ribosomal RNA", at positions 328 to 539 of the family's 1533-position model. The record is from RNAcentral.
ACGCUCGACACCUACGGAGGCAGCAGUGGGGAAUAUUGCACAAUGGGGGAAACCCUGAUGCAGCGACGCCGCGUGGAGGAAGAAGGUCUUUGGAUUGUAAACUCCUGUUGUUGGGGAAAAAGAGGAUGGUACCCAACAAGGAAGUGACGGCUAACUACGUGCAAGCAGCCGCGGUAAUCUGAGCGGGCUGGCAAGGC